AAUUAUAUAGUCUAAAAAGGAUUUUAAAUUGCAAAUUUAAAGGUAAUAUACAAAUUUAUAAUUU
RNAcentral lists this transfer RNA (64 nucleotides) under Curculionoidea sp. 17 KM-2017. RNAcentral's name for it is "tRNA-Cys". Lineage: Eukaryota; Metazoa; Arthropoda; Insecta; Coleoptera. The record is from RNAcentral.